RNAcentral lists this small nucleolar RNA (137 nucleotides) under Ornithorhynchus anatinus (platypus). Lineage: Eukaryota; Metazoa; Chordata; Mammalia; Monotremata; Ornithorhynchidae. The record is from RNAcentral.
AGCCCUCAGGGUCACACCUGGAAAGUUUCCAGUUCUCUACCAGUCUUGACUACAGAAGGGAGAGUCAAGCAGAAGUCUACCCAUUCCAUUCCUAGCUUGGCCAGUGGCUAGCGAGUGGAAGGCCAUCUGCUACAAGU